UAAAGAGGGGGCUAGCGUUAUUCGGAAUUAUUGGGCGUAAAGGGCGCGUAGGCGGCCAUGCGUGUCUUCCGUGAAAUCCCUCGGCUUAACUGAGGACGUGCGGAAGAAACUGCAAGGCUCGAGUCCGGGAGAGGGGGGUGGAAUUCCCAGUGUAGCGGUGAAAUGCGUAGAUAUUGGGAGGAACACCGGUGGCGAAGGCGGCCCCCUGGACCGGUACUGACGCUGAGGCGCGAAAGCGUGGGUAGCAAACGGG
RNAcentral lists this ribosomal RNA (253 nucleotides) under uncultured bacterium. RNAcentral's name for it is "partial 16S ribosomal RNA". It matches the Rfam family "Bacterial small subunit ribosomal RNA", at positions 524 to 776 of the family's 1533-position model. The record is from RNAcentral.